This is a ribosomal RNA of Prevotella sp., 186 nucleotides long. It matches the Rfam family "Bacterial large subunit ribosomal RNA", at positions 2728 to 2925 of the family's 2925-position model. NCBI's taxonomy places the organism in Bacteria, Pseudomonadati, Bacteroidota, Bacteroidia, Bacteroidales, Prevotellaceae. The record is from Rfam.
GCCAGUUGCACUGCCGGGUAUCUAAGUCUGGAUGGGAUAAGCGCUGAAAGCAUCUAAGUGCGAAGCCCGCCACAAGAUUAGAUUUCCUCAAAAGGGUCGUCACAGACGAUGACGUAGAUAGGAUGCAGGUGUAAAGUCAGCAAUGGCAAAGCCGAGCAUUACUAAUAGCCCGAAACUUCUAGUCCU